Molecule: ribosomal RNA, 455 nt
Filed under: uncultured bacterium
Lineage: Bacteria
Description: bacterial SSU rRNA
Rfam family: Bacterial small subunit ribosomal RNA
Source: RNAcentral
CGAACGCUGGCGGCAGGCUUAACACAUGCAAGUCGAACGGUUGCAGCAAUGCAGCAGUGGCAGACGGGUGAGUAACACGUGGGAAUCUUCCUCGGGGUACGGAACAACUCAGGGAAACUUGAGCUAAUACCGUAUACGUCCGUGAGGAGAAAGAUUUAUCGCCCUGAGACGGGCCCGCGUCGGAUUAGCUAGUUGGUGGGGUAACGGCCUACCAAGGCGACGAUCCGUAGCUGAUCUUAGAGGAUGAUCAGCCACACUGGGACUGAGACACGGCCCAGACUCCUACGGGAGGCAGCAGUGGGGAAUCUUGGACAAUGGGGGCAACCCUGAUCCAGCCAUGCCGCGUGAGUGAAGAAGGUCUUCGGAUUGUAAAGCUCUUUUGCCAGGGACGAUAAUGACGGUACCUGGAGAAUAAGCCCGGCAAACUUCGUGCCGGCAGCCGCGGUAAUCUGAUG